Molecule: ribosomal RNA, 422 nt
Filed under: uncultured bacterium
Lineage: Bacteria
Description: bacterial SSU rRNA
Rfam family: Bacterial small subunit ribosomal RNA
Source: RNAcentral
UGAGGAAUAUUGUUCAAUGGGGGAAACCCUGAAGCAGCAACGCCGCGUAAAGGAUGAAGGCGCUUUGCGUUGUAAACUUUUGUAGUCGGGGACAAAUUGUGGGUUACUACCCACUUGAUGGUACCCGAAAAGUAAGGAUUGGCUAACUACGUGCCAGCAGCCGCGGUAAUACGUAGGAUCCGAGCGUUGUCCGGAUUUACUGGGUGUAAAGGGUGCGCAGGCGGACUGGUAAGUCAGAGGUGAAAUCUCGUCGCUCAACGACGAAACUGCCUUUGAUACUAUCAGUCUUGAGUCCGGUAGAGAUCUGUGGAAUUCCGAGUGUAGCAGUGAAAUGUGUAGAUAUUCGGAAGAACACCAGUGGCGAAGGCAGCAGAUUGGGCCGGUAUUGACGCUCAGGCACGAAAGCAUGGGGAUCAAACAGG